This 818-nucleotide ribosomal RNA is filed under the name Salmonella enterica. RNAcentral describes it as "partial 23S ribosomal RNA". It matches the Rfam family "Bacterial large subunit ribosomal RNA", at positions 482 to 1190 of the family's 2925-position model. Lineage: Bacteria; Pseudomonadati; Pseudomonadota; Gammaproteobacteria; Enterobacterales; Enterobacteriaceae. The record is from RNAcentral.
GACCGAUAGUGAACCAGUACCGUGAGGGAAAGGCGAAAAGAACCCCGGCGAGGGGAGUGAAACAGAACCUGAAACCGUGUACGUACAAGCAGUGGGAGCCCCACCACCAAAGCGUUUCGCUUUGCGUGGUGCGCAAAAUGCGUAACGACAGCACGAUUGCGGUUAACGGAGCGUAAGCGACGUUCAACACAAAAAUCAGGCAGUGGAGCGUUUUGGGGUGGGGUGACUGCGUACCUUUUGUAUAAUGGGUCAGCGACUUAUAUUCUGUAGCAAGGUUAACCGCAUAGGGGAGCCGGAGGGAAACCGAGUCUUAAUUGGGCGUUAAGUUGCAGGGUAUAGACCCGAAACCCGGUGAUCUAGCCAUGGGCAGGUUGAAGGUUGGGUAACACUAACUGGAGGACCGAACCGACUAAUGUUGAAAAAUUAGCGGAUGACCUGUGGCUGGGGGUGAAAGGCCAAUCAAACCGGGAGAUAGCUGGUUCUCCCCGAAAGCUAUUUAGGUAGCGCCUCGUGAAUUCAUCUCCGGGGGUAGAGCACUGUUUCGGCCAGGGGGCCAUCCCGGCUUACCAAUCCGAUGCAAACUGCGAAUACCGGAGAAUGUUAUCACGGGAGACACACGGCGGGUGCUAACGUCCGUCGUGAAGAGGGAAACAACCCAGACCGCCAGCUAAGGUCCCAAAGUCAUGGUUAAGUGGGAAACGAUGUGGGAAGGCCCAGACAGCCAGGAUGUUGGCUUAGAAGCAGCCAUCAUUUAAAGAAAGCGUAAUAGCUCACUGGUCGAGUCGGCCUGCGCGGAAGAUGUAACGGGGCUAAACCAU